Molecule: non-coding RNA, 768 nt
Organism: Podarcis muralis (Common wall lizard)
Lineage: Eukaryota; Metazoa; Chordata; Lepidosauria; Squamata; Lacertidae
Source: RefSeq, a predicted model, not a curated record
CGGCGCUCACCUAAGAGGUACCAGAGCUGAGUUCUGGCGAGUUCCAGCUGAAAAAAGCCCUGAUGGAUUGUAUCCUGAAUAUCCUUGCCUUUCUAGAAAUCCUAGAGAAUUUAUCUGGCAGCAAUGUGACCGCUCAGUCCUCUCUACUCUGGAUUUUACUCUCCAUAUUUCACAGAAUGCAAUGAAGCUGAAUGAUUCAGGACAGAUAAGCUUCAAACCCUUUUGUGGUUGCUAAUACCCAGUAAUGAUGAGGCCUCUAUCAAAUGGAAGAGUUGGAACCUGUCUGGAACUGAGUCUCUGGGACUAAAGAUGCCUGUAGCCGUUCAAACAAUGCAACCAUCCCAACAGCAGUGCCCUUCAAGAGCGCGAUCUUGUCUUUCAGUUGUGCUCUUUUGUAUGGCACAUUGUGUGAGUGCUGUUCAGCUUCUAUGACUAGCAGCAGAAUUCGCAGACUUACCUACUCAAAAGUAAGUCCCAUCAUGGAGGUUCCCGGGGCUUACUCCCAAGUAAGUGUAUCUAGGAUCAAGGUCUUAAGGAUGGGAACAUGAAGCCACUGAGACAGCUUAAAAAGUUAAAGAGCGAGGCCAGAGGAACCAUCAUAUUUUCCGUCAAAAUAUUUAGGGGGAAAUGUUGAGUCGCUGAAGCAGAAGCACCCAUUUUGAGAAAGAAGGUUUGGCUCAUGCACAACAAAUGAACAAAAUCCAUGUGUUUAUUGCACAAUGUAACUUAACAUCUGGAAAUGUGGUAAGAAAGAAGGGAAAGUGAUUC